GACGAACGCUGGCGGCGUGCUUAACACAUGCAAGUCGAACGGUAAGGCCCUUCGGGGUACACGAGUGGCGAACGGGUGAGUAACACGUGGGUGAUCUGCCCUGCACUUCGGGAUAAGCCUGGGAAACUGGGUCUAAUACCGGAUAGGACUCCGGACUGCAUGGUCUGGGGUGGAAAGCUUUUGCGGUGUGGGAUGGGCCCGCGGCCUAUCAGCUUGUUGGUGGGGUGAUGGCCUACCAGGGCGACGACGGGUAGCCGGCCUGAGAGGGUGACCGGCCACACUGGGACUGGGAUACGGCCCAGACUCCUACGGGGGGCAGCAGUGGGGAAUAUUGCACAAUGGGCGCAAGCCUGAUGCAGCGACGCCGCGUGAGGGAUGACGGCCUUCGGGUUGUAAACCUCUUUCAGCAUCGACGAAGCGAAAGUGACGGUAGGUGCAGAAGAAGGACCGGCCAACUACGUGCCAGCCGCCGCAGUAA
RNAcentral lists this ribosomal RNA (478 nucleotides) under uncultured bacterium. RNAcentral describes it as "partial 16S ribosomal RNA". It matches the Rfam family "Bacterial small subunit ribosomal RNA", at positions 28 to 523 of the family's 1533-position model. The record is from RNAcentral.